AUACGGAAGGUCCGGGCGUUAUCCGGAUUUAUUGGGUUUAAAGGGAGCGCAGGCGGAGAUGCAAGCGUGACGUCAAAUUUCGGGGCUCAACCCCGUCUCGCGUCGCGAACUGCGUCCCUUGGUUGCGGGAAGGGGAGGCGGAACUCGUGGUGUAGCGGUGAAACGCAUAGAUAUCACGAAGAACUCCGAUCGCGAAGGCAGCCUUCCGGCCCGUCAACGACGCUCAUGCUCGAAGGUGCGGGUAUCAAACAGGAUUAGAUACCCUGGUAGUCCGCACAGUAAACGAUGGACACCCGCGGUUUGGCCUAUAUGGCUGAGCCGCCAAGCGAAAGCGUUAAGUGUCCCACCUGGGGAGUACGCCGGCAACGGUGAAACUCAAAUGAAUUGACGGGG
Molecule: ribosomal RNA, 393 nt
Filed under: uncultured bacterium
Lineage: Bacteria
Description: partial 16S ribosomal RNA
Rfam family: Bacterial small subunit ribosomal RNA
Source: RNAcentral